RNAcentral lists this ribosomal RNA (542 nucleotides) under uncultured bacterium. RNAcentral describes it as "partial 16S ribosomal RNA". It matches the Rfam family "Bacterial small subunit ribosomal RNA", at positions 355 to 889 of the family's 1533-position model. The record is from RNAcentral.
UGGGGAAUUUUGGACAAUGGGCGCAAGCCUGAUCCAGCCAUGCCGCGUGCGGGAAGAAGGCCUUCGGGUUGUAAACCGCUUUUGUCAGGGAAGAAAUCUUCUGAGUUAAUACCUCGGGAGGAUGACGGUACCUGAAGAAUAAGCACCGGCUAACUACGUGCCAGCAGCCGCGGUAAUACGUAGGGUGCAAGCGUUAAUCGGAAUUACUGGGCGUAAAGCGUGCGCAGGCGGUUUUGUAAGACAGAGGUGAAAUCCCCGGGCUCAACCUGGGAACUGCCUUUGUGACUGCAAGGCUUGAGUGCGGCAGAGGGGGGAUGGAAUUCCGCGUGUAGCAGUGAAAUGCGUAGAUAUGCGGAGGAACACCGAUGGCGAAGGCAAUCCCCUGGGCCUGCACUGACGCUCAUGCACGAAAGCGUGGGGAGCAAACAGAUUAGAUACCCCUGGUAGUCCACGCCCUAAACGAUGUCAACUGGUUGUUGGGAAGGUUCCUUCUCAGUAACGUAGCUAACGCGUGAAGUUGACCGCCUGGGGAGUACGGCCGC